RNAcentral lists this unclassified non-coding RNA (280 nucleotides) under Hevea brasiliensis (rubber tree). The record is from RNAcentral. Lineage: Eukaryota; Viridiplantae; Streptophyta; Magnoliopsida; Malpighiales; Euphorbiaceae.
AUGGAUGGGAUGGGAAGGAGCAGGAAUUCGUGAUUAUUCUUCUCAUAUCAAUCCAUACAUUUAAAACCAAAAAUUCAAAUUAGGUUAUGAUUUGUUAAUAGAAUUGGUUCUUAAUCUAUCAACAUCAACCAAUGGUUGUGGUGGGUUUGGUUUGUUGUAUAUAUAAAUGGGAAAAGAGGGGAAAUUGAAAAUUGGUAUUCAUUAAUGUUUACCCUUUUUUUCAAGUGUUAUUUGUACAUAUGGUCAAGACAGAGCCUUCGGCUUUUAAUAAUAUGAAAAG